This 458-nucleotide ribosomal RNA is filed under the name uncultured bacterium. RNAcentral describes it as "partial 16S ribosomal RNA". It matches the Rfam family "Bacterial small subunit ribosomal RNA", at positions 28 to 507 of the family's 1533-position model. The record is from RNAcentral.
GAUAAACGCUGGCGGCGUGCAUGAGACAUGCAAGUCGAACGAAGGAUCGGGCUUGCUCGAUCCUUAGUGGCGGACGGCUGAGUAACGCGUAGGUGACCUACCCCGAAGUGGGGAAUAACUGCCCGAAAGGGUGGCUAAUACCGCAUGUGGUCGCACGUUCAUUCGUGCGAGUAAAGCCGCAAGGCGCUUCGGGAGGGGCCUGCGUCCGAUUAGCUCGUUGGUGGGGUAAUGGCUUACCAAGGCGACGAUCGGUAGGUGGUCUGAGAGGACGAUCACCCAGACUGGGACUGAGACACGGCCCAGACUCCUACGGGAGGCAGCAGUCGGGAAUUUUGCGCAAUGGGGGAAACCCUGAAGCAGCAACGCCGCGUGAGGGAUGAAGGCCUUCGGGUUGUAAACCUCUUUUGUCAGGGACGAUGAUGACGGUACCUGGCGAAUAAGCCACGGCUAACUACGUG